AAUCCAUGGUUAGGACAUCUUCUAAGUAGAUUUUUAAAAUGCUCCUAAGCCUCAUACAACAUUCCUUGGUUCCAUGAUAGAAAUCGUUGAUGUCACUUUUAAGCUU
Small nucleolar RNA from Ziziphus jujuba (common jujube), 106 nucleotides. The record is from RefSeq and is a predicted model, not a curated record. NCBI's taxonomy places the organism in Eukaryota, Viridiplantae, Streptophyta, Magnoliopsida, Rosales, Rhamnaceae.